RNAcentral lists this transfer RNA (67 nucleotides) under Rhabdopleura sp. NHMO H2136. RNAcentral's name for it is "tRNA-Tyr". It matches the Rfam family "tRNA". Rfam says of the family: Transfer RNA (tRNA) molecules are approximately 80 nucleotides in length. Their secondary structure includes four short double-helical elements and three loops (D, anti-codon, and T loops). Lineage: Eukaryota; Metazoa; Hemichordata; Pterobranchia; Rhabdopleurida; Rhabdopleuridae. The record is from RNAcentral.
GGUAAGAUGGCUGAUAAAAGUAAUGGAUUGUAAAUCCAUAAAUGAAGACAAAAAACUUCUCUUACCA